AUCUCUAAAAUUAGAGAUAAGACAAUAUAAAUAAUAUUGUUUGCUGUCUUAUUUUAUUUCAUUACAAUUAAUCUUAGGGUAUAUAUAGUAAUAACUACAAAGGUUCUUCAUAUUAGAAAUAUAAAAUAUUCAUAUUACUGGGUACCAACACAAGAACUAAAUACAUAGGUGUCAAAAAAAAAAUACAAGAACUAAAUGACACCUCAUGGAAUAUUGUAGCAAGGAGCUUCUGUAGUUUCUUGAGAACAAAAUCUAUGGAUCAUCCAUGUCCUUACAUGUACACUUGUGAGCCACACACUUCGCCUUUAAGGGAUAUGCACACAUAUAUGGUGGACAAUCGGAAUUCAUUUUACAUUUAAUAUUUACUGUGAUGAAAUAAAAAAAAAAUUAAAGAAUCAAAUAUAUAUGAAAUCAAGAAGGAAAUUAUAAAAGGAUGAUAAAAAAACAUCUUACCGGUAUUCCCUGUAACAAGGAAUAGAAAAAGAAAUAAAAUUUUUACAUAAAUAAACUUGACCAUUUUAGUCAUGUUUUUUCUUUUAAAUGUAACAAAUGGUUUAUAUAUGACUUUAUAAUUUAUAGAGUUUAUACUCUCCUUACAUUAAUUAAAUAUUUA
This 613-nucleotide long non-coding RNA is filed under the name Trifolium pratense (red clover). Its description in RNAcentral is "long non-coding RNA (TPRA_LNC006465)". Lineage: Eukaryota; Viridiplantae; Streptophyta; Magnoliopsida; Fabales; Fabaceae. The record is from RNAcentral.